This 1116-nucleotide long non-coding RNA is filed under the name Cricetulus griseus (Chinese hamster). RNAcentral's name for it is "lncRNA (ENSCGRG00015032749.1)". The record is from RNAcentral. Lineage: Eukaryota; Metazoa; Chordata; Mammalia; Rodentia; Cricetidae.
UGGCCAUUCUAAAGGCCCCUCCUAGACUCCGAGGGUGGGCAGUAGCUGGAGGGCACGGGGACUCCCCUGUGUCCCCCUCCUUGCCUAUGCAGAGGGCAGAAUCCAGGCACCUUUCAGUCCAGUGAAAUUUUGAACCUUUUUGAGGUUCGAGGGGCCACGUGGCGGGGGGCGCCCUGUCCUCCCUCUCCACCACUAGGGGGCGCGCUCUACCUCUGCCUCGCGCCUUUCAGGCUCCCUCUUGCACUCUGCGAUUCUUCAUCCCUCUCCUCUCCUCUCUCCUGCCCGCUCCGCAUCCCGUUUUCUCUCUCCCACUCCCUGCCCCCCCCUCUUCCUGUCUCGUAUUUUCCUGCCCAGGAAUCAGACCCCAGACAGUACCUAGGAAGUCUGCGGCCUUGCCUAAUAGAACCGUAAUAGUCCUCGGGGAGGCGUGAUAAUGACAUCCUCCUUAAAUAAAAGGACUUAAUGGAGAUUUCCCAAAUUUGAAAACCACAUUUCCACUAGCAACCUACUCAGUGAAUGCUCUGGAGAGGAACUCAUGGGGAUCUGCAGUGGGGGAACGGGCGAGGAGGCUCGGAGCCUGCGCAGAGCAAGCGGUUCCGCACUGCCCUACUCUCCCAGGCAGGACAAAGGACCCACCCGAGGUUACAAACCACGAAGGUGGGCCGCCUUCUCCCUUCCAAUCAGCUCCCAAAGAGCAAAAAAGCUCAGACUCAGCAAAUCCUGUGUGACCCAAGGAAUAGGAAGCCCUGUCUCUCCAGUCUAGAAGCUGCUCCAACCUGAGGUGGCCAAUGAGGACAGUUGCCGUCUGAUUCUCAUAUUCUUGGGAAAGCAUUUCCCUUCUUGACAAAGAAACAAGGUCUCAUGCAACCCAGACUGGCUUCUCUCUGCAUCACUAAGGAUGGUGUUGAAUUUCUGAUCAUCUUGCCACCACCUCCCCAGGACUGGAAUUACAUUAUCUACCACCAUGCCAGGUGUAUGCCAUGCUGUUGCUCAAACCCAGGGCUUCCUGUAUCUACCAGCAGAGCUACACGCCCAGCCCCUGGGAAGUACUUUCCUAAAAAUUUCCAUACAAAACCCCAUCUUGGCUUCAUUCAUUCAUACAAGCACACAUUGAUU